AAACGUAGGAGGCGAGCGUUAUCCGGAUUUACUGGGUGUAAAGCGCGUGCAGGCGGUGACGUAAGUCGUGCGUGAAAGCGCUCUGGCUCAACCGGGCGAGGACGUGCGGAACUGCGUGACUAGAGGCAGGUAGAGGCGUGUGGAAUUCCGGGUGUAGUGGUGAAAUGCGUAGAGAUCCGGAGGAACACCAGUGGCGAAGGCGACGCGCUGGGCCUGGCCUGACGCUAAGACGCGAAAGCAUGGGGAGCGAACGGGAUUAGAGACCCCGGUAGUCCAUGCUGUAAACGAUGCGGACUAGGUGUGGCGGUGAGGAGCCGCUGUGCCGCAGCCAACGUGAUAAGUCCGCCACCUGGGGAGUACGGCCGCAAGGUUAAA
RNAcentral lists this ribosomal RNA (375 nucleotides) under uncultured bacterium. RNAcentral describes it as "bacterial SSU rRNA". It matches the Rfam family "Bacterial small subunit ribosomal RNA", at positions 523 to 898 of the family's 1533-position model. The record is from RNAcentral.